AGCGCAGGCGGUUUGAUAAGUCUGAAGUAAAAGGCUGUGGCUUAACCAUAGUAUGCUUUGGAAACUGUCAAACUUGAGUGCAGAAGGGGAGAGUGGAAUUCCAUGUGUAGCGGUGAAAUGCGUAGAUAUAUGGAGGAACACCGGUGGCGAAAGCGGCUCUCUGGUCUGUAACUGACGCUGAGGCUGAAAGCGUGGGGGAGCAAACA
RNAcentral lists this ribosomal RNA (206 nucleotides) under uncultured bacterium. Its description in RNAcentral is "partial 16S ribosomal RNA". It matches the Rfam family "Bacterial small subunit ribosomal RNA", at positions 568 to 774 of the family's 1533-position model. The record is from RNAcentral.